GCCUCCUUGGUGUAGUUGGUUUAUCUCGUCGGUCUCAUAGCUUGCCGCAUGACUCUUUCCUGAAAGGGUAAUCCGAAGGUCGCCAGUUCGAUCCUGGCAGGGGGCA
Molecule: non-coding RNA, 106 nt
Organism: Calocera viscosa TUFC12733
Lineage: Eukaryota; Fungi; Basidiomycota; Dacrymycetes; Dacrymycetales; Dacrymycetaceae
Source: the annotation of a GenBank genome assembly